This 419-nucleotide ribosomal RNA is filed under the name uncultured eukaryote. RNAcentral's name for it is "bacterial SSU rRNA". It matches the Rfam family "Eukaryotic small subunit ribosomal RNA", at positions 592 to 1016 of the family's 1831-position model. The record is from RNAcentral.
CAAUAGCGUAUAUUAAAGUUGUUGCAGUUAAAAAGCUCGUAGUUGGAUGUCUGGCUCUGUGUUGCGGUCCACCGCAAGGUGAGCACUGCGAUGUGGGGUCUUCCUCUUGAAUGCUGCGUGUGCUCUUAGUUGAGUGUGCGUGGGGUUUGGGAUCUUUACUUUGAAAAAUUAGAGUGUUCAAAGCAGGCGAUUGCUUGAAUAUAUUAGCAUGGAAUAAUGGAAUAGGACUUGGGUUCUAUUUUGUUGGUUUCUAGGACCGAGGUAAUGAUUAAUAGGGGUAGUUGGGGGCGAUUCGUAUUUAAUUGUCAGAGGUGAAAUUCUUGGAUUCGCUGAAGACUAACUUAUGCGAAAGCAUUCACCAAGGAUGUCUUCUUUAAUUCAGAACGAAAGUUAGGGGGAGUCGAAGAUGAUCAGAUACC